UUUCGUCUGGGAAAGCCAAAAAUUAUGCAGUUAUAAUUCUAAACGCUAACUUUACAAGGAACUUUGUCUGGAAUUAGAAGCGUACAAUCUUCUUACUCUGCAUCCUCAAGAAAAUAGCGAAACCUGCAUCAACUUUACAUACAACCACAUUACACCGGCUGCUAGGAUUUAGAACAUCAUAACAGCGCGGCUGCUUACAUGAGGCAAGCUAUUUUUAAACUAUAUACAUGUUUUUACACAGACUAUGGAUAUGCAGUUCUAUAAGUGCUUUAUUUCAGUGCCUGCAUUACCAUCAGGGCUCUUUAUCGACUUCCAGGAACUCUAAUCGCAUACGGCUGCAAGGAUUUGAACAUGCAUAAUUUCUACAUGUACAAGAAUUGGUUUUUCGUUAGCACUGGGCCGUGCACACUUGCCGCGUGCACGCAGGUUGUCACGUUUCACGUCCGCGGUCGUGUAUGAUGCGGUCUUCGAUCGUUUCUGGAUUGCCAGUGUGGCGUAGGAUCUUCUUUCAACAAAUAAUUCAGAACUUCUUAAGUGCAUAUCAUUAAAGACUAUUUGCACAAAACUGUUACGUUUAAUCAUGCUAUUAUGGUUAGUCAAAAUUUAAGCUGUAAACUUUCAUCUAGAAGGCUAUUACUUUCGGAGUACGUCCAUCUAUCAACUGCACAACCCUACUGAUACCGCUCCUCAGUUUUUGGGGGUUCUUAAUUUACAUCGUUAAUGGAGAAUUUUAUAUAAUCAUCUGUGUGUCAUGGCAGGCAACACAAGGCAACGGAUCCAAAUGCAAUGGUUUAUUUCUCAAACCCAAAAGUGCACAAAGCAGAACCAGAAUGAAAACCAGAAUACAGGACUAAAAAGUGAUGACGGCUAACUAUAAUCGACAAAGGACAACUGAAACACAAGGACUGUAUAUAUUCAUGUGGGUAAACAAGAUAUCAAGACACACCUGGGAAAAAAUCUAGAACAAGGACCAACGAACUAGAAGAACUACAGACGUGGAUGACAUUACAGAACUUCAAAUAAAGAGUACAAGACUGGGGAAACCAAGACACGACAGACACCGUGCAAUCUUUAGCAUCAGUCAGAUUUGUUUGUAACCAUCUAAUCUUCUCCCUACUUUAAUAAUGACAAUAUAAAAGCAUGUAUACAUAAAUUGUCUCUCUUCAUCAGGAGCCGCGCUCCUAAUUUCACCGUAUGCAGGAAAACACUAUGACAUUCAAUUCAAUAAUGGCAAGCAAUAAUCAAGGUAUGUUUAAGCAAACUACUGGUGGUGGUGGUGGUGUAUUUAACCAUGCUAAAUCAUGGCCUUUGCCAUUUAUAUCAUUCCUCACUCUGGCAUAACGUUGCUUUCUGUGGCCUUCGCGGCCUCUCUGCUAUCAAGCCUAACGUGGCAGCCUUCUACGGAUAUCCUCUACUGCUGAUAUUAUGAUCGACAUUUACGGACAUGUUAAUGGUAUGUACUGGUGGUGGUGAAUCUUAUUGCAAGCUAACCUGUUGGCUUUUCCUACUGGGCAUAUCGUUGCCUUCCACGGCCUAUGCGGCCUAUCUAACCCUGGCAUAUCUUUGCCCUUCAUGGCCUACACAGCCUCUCUCAACACGGCAUAUCGUUGCCUUCUAUGGCCAUGCGGCCUUUCUCACUCGGCAUAUCGUUGCCUUCUAUGGCCUACGCGGCCUAUCUCUAUCUGGCAUAUCGUUGCCUUCUAUGGCCUACGCGGCCUAUCUCUAUCUGGCAUAUAUCUCUAUCUGGCAUAUCGUUGCCUUCUAUGGCCUACGCGGCCUAUUUUCUCUGGCAUAUCGUUGCCUUCCAAAGGCCUACGCGGCCUUUUCUCACUAGGCAUAUUGUUGCUUUCUAUGGCCUACGCGGCCUAUCUCUGUCUGGCAUAUCGUUGCCUUCUAAAGCCUACGCGGCAUUUUCCCAUUAGGCAUAUCGUUGCCUUCUGUGGCCUGUGCGGCCUAUCUCUGUCUGGCAUAUCGUUGCCUUCUAAAGCCUAUGUGGCUUUUUCCCACUAGGCAUAUCGUUGCCUUCUACGGCCUAUGCGGCCUAUCUCUCCAGCCUAUCUCUCUGGGGCAUAUCGCUGCCUUCUAUGGCCUAAGCGGUAAUCCCAUGGCCUCUUAUGGCAUCCUUCAAUGUCAGUAGAUAACAAUUUCUCUUAUCUGUUUCAGGAACCUCAAAGAAACACUGAUACUGAUGCCAGCAUUUACAACCCACCCUCCCUACCACCAUCACCAGGUCGGUUCCGUCCAUACUCAAGGGGGAUUAGAUUCUGGCCUGUCUUCAUCUUCAGACAGGAACCGCAAGAAUCCGUGACCCCCGGAUUUGAACUAUGGUCGGGGCCUACGCCAAAGAACUAUACUGUGUUACAUUCUAACCUUGGUUGCUAACUACUGUUAAAUAAACUCAUAUGUCAAGUCUUAA
Molecule: non-coding RNA, 2416 nt
Organism: Paramisgurnus dabryanus
Lineage: Eukaryota; Metazoa; Chordata; Actinopteri; Cypriniformes; Cobitidae
Source: RefSeq, a predicted model, not a curated record